Molecule: ribosomal RNA, 361 nt
Filed under: uncultured bacterium
Lineage: Bacteria
Description: bacterial SSU rRNA
Rfam family: Bacterial small subunit ribosomal RNA
Source: RNAcentral
AACGAACGCUGGCGGCAGGCCUAACACAUGCAAGUCGAACGCCCUAGCAAUAGGGAGUGGCGCACGGGUGCGUAACGCGUGGGAAUAUGCCCUUCACUGCGGAAUAACGUUUGGAACGAACGCUAAUACCGCAUAAUGACUCCGGUCCAAAGAUUUAUCGGUGAAGGAUUAGCCCGCGUUAGAUUAGCUAGUUGGUGAGGUAAUGGCUCACCAAGGCGACGAUCUAUAGCUGGUCUGAGAGGAUGAUCAGCCACACUGGGACUGAGACACGGCCCAGACUCCUACGGGAGGCAGCAGUGAGGAAUAAUUGGGACCAAAUGGGGCGCAAGCCUGAUCCAGCCAUGCCGCGUGAGUGAAGAAA